RNAcentral lists this ribosomal RNA (214 nucleotides) under uncultured bacterium. Its description in RNAcentral is "partial 16S ribosomal RNA". It matches the Rfam family "Bacterial small subunit ribosomal RNA", at positions 122 to 334 of the family's 1533-position model. The record is from RNAcentral.
CAACCUGCCCUGUACUGUGGAAUAAUCAUUGGAAACGAUGACUAAUACCGCAUGUGGUCCUCGGAAGGCAUCUUCUGAGGAAGAAAGGAUUUAUUCGGUACAGGAUGGGCCCGCAUCUGAUUAGCUAGUUGGUGAGAUAACAGCCCACCAAGGCGACGAUCAGUAGCCGACCUGAGAGGGUGAUCGGCCACAUUGGGACUGAGACACGGCCCAG